RNAcentral lists this long non-coding RNA (615 nucleotides) under Oryctolagus cuniculus (rabbit). Its description in RNAcentral is "lncRNA (ENSOCUG00000031618.1)". The record is from RNAcentral. Lineage: Eukaryota; Metazoa; Chordata; Mammalia; Lagomorpha; Leporidae.
AUGAGCACACACUUCCCUGUGGUCUCCUGCCAGUGGGAUGUCAACAGCUGUCUGUACUGUCAUACUGUUCCAGGGUCUUGUCUCCAGAGUUUAAGAAGAAAAGCAACUCGGAAGUCAAGAAGAUCUACCGUCCGUCCUAUCGACAAAGUCAGAAAAAUCCGUGUCUUGCCAAAGAACAGGAUGCACCCUGUGAAGGAGUCGACGAAGCUGCCCCCGAUGACCUGGUGGAAGAACACACCAAACACAGGGCAGAGGAGAAGGCCACACCGCUUGCCAAGGUUUCCCACAGUCGGCAGGAGCCCUGUGCAGACAGAAUGCGGUCCUACAGGGACUCUCUCUCUCUGGUUGCAGACGGACUCGAGAUCCAGCGAAAACUGUACGUAUCCUGGAAUCCCUCGGUUGUUGAGGGAAACCAAAGGGAGGAGAGAGUGGGACCUUCCUGCCUGCUCUCCCCUGGUGAUUCAACCUGAUUCCAGCUUCCUGGUGGAUAAGAGGAUCUCGGGUGUGGUGAAAGAAACAGAUGGGCUAGUGCAUAGCCAUGGGCAUCUAAGGCAGGCCCUGGAAGGAGCUGGGUCAUUUAGAGAUGGUGUGGGUUUGUGCGCAUCAGUGUUGUGA